CCAGGGUGUGGGGGACAUGAGAGGCCACCCAGAAUGCAUCCAUUUAAUAGAAGUUUCCAGCGCUGACCGUACAAACCAGUAAGGAACCAGCAGCAAAGGACGCAGGGUGGCGCUCCUGAUGUCAGCCGCCGCCCGGGAUCUCGCCUUGCUGAGAAGAUCCUCUCUCUCCACGUGGCCCAGCCCGGAGGCUGAAUUGUGCUUCACAAGUCAGGGGUUUAGAAAAUGAGGCUUUGCUUUAAAAGGUAAGUGUAAAAUGGUCCAUGGAAAUGCACCAUCUUCCGCCCAAUGCCCCCUAGAUGCAGUGGCUGGGACAGUUCAGUGUGAAGUAGAGGAAAUGGCGUCUUCUGCUUCCUUCAGAAAGGUCCUCGGCGACAGGGCCCUCUGGGGGACCUGGGGACGCACCCCUCUCACAUGCCCGGCUUCCCCGGGCCCUUUGCUGCUUCUAACUUCCAGAAGGGGCUUGGGACAGCAAACAGCCCAGGGUCCCCCUCACCCACCCCAGAGUGCAGAACAGCAGCCCUGGCCCCCAGCCCUUGGCUGCAAGGAAGCGAGGCUGCCUGGCCGUGAACGCUCAGGCCGGCUCUGAGUUGGGUGUGGCCCACGCGGGGCUCCUG
RNAcentral lists this long non-coding RNA (614 nucleotides) under Homo sapiens (human). Its description in RNAcentral is "PREDICTED lncRNA (TCONS_00268143)". The record is from RNAcentral. Lineage: Eukaryota; Metazoa; Chordata; Mammalia; Primates; Hominidae.